RNAcentral lists this ribosomal RNA (468 nucleotides) under uncultured bacterium. RNAcentral's name for it is "partial 16S ribosomal RNA". It matches the Rfam family "Bacterial small subunit ribosomal RNA", at positions 28 to 507 of the family's 1533-position model. The record is from RNAcentral.
GACGAACGCUGGCGGCGUGCUUAACACAUGCAAGUCGAACGGAAAGGCCCUGCUUUUGUGGGGUGCUCGAGUGGCGAACGGGUGAGUAACACGUGAGUAACCUGCCCUUGACUUUGGGAUAACUUCAGGAAACUGGGGCUAAUACCGGAUAGGAGCUCCUGCUGCAUGGUGGGGGUUGGACAGUUUCGGCGGGUGGGGAUGGACUCGCGGCCUAUCAGCUUGUUGGUGGGGUAGUGGCUUACCAAGGCUUUGACGGGUAGCCGGCCUGAGAGGGUGACCGGCCACAUUGGGACUGAGAUACGGCCCAGACUCCUACGGGAGGCAGCAGUGGGGAAUAUUGCACAAUGGGCGGAAGCCUGAUGCAGCAACGCCGCGUGCGGGAUGACGGCCUUCGGGUUGUAAACCGCUUUCGCCUGUGACGAAGCGUGAGUGACGGUAAUGGGUAAAGAAGCACCGGCUAACUACGUG